CUCCGGNUGAUCCCGCCGGACCCGACUGCUAUCAGAGUGGGACUAAGCCAUGCGAGUCAACAUAGCAAUAUGUGGCAUACGGCUCAGUAACACGUAGUCAACAUGCCCAGGGGACGUGGAUAACCUCGGGAAACUGAGAAUAAACCGCGAUAGAUCAUUAUGCCUGGAAUGGCUUAUGGUUCAAACAAUUUAUUGCCGUAGGAUGGGACUGCGGCCUAUCAGCUUGUUGGUGAGGUAAUGGCCCACCAAGGCUAUAACAGGUACGGGCUCUGAGAGGAGAAGCCCGGAGAUGGGUACUGAGACACGGACCCAGGCCCUAUGGGGCGCAGCAGGCGAGAAACCUUAGCAAUGUGCGAAAGCACGACUAGGUUAAUCCGAGUGAUUUCUGUUGAAGAAAUCUUUUGUCAGUCGUAAAACCACAGACGAAUAAGGGGUGGGCAAGUCUGGUGUCAGCCGCCGCGGUAAUACCAGCACCUCGAGUGGUCAGGAGGUUUAUUGGGCCUAAAGCAUCCGUAGCCGGCUACGCAAGUCUCCGGUUAAAUCCAGCUGCUCAACAGAUGGGCUGCCGGAGAUACUACAUAGCUAGGGAGCGGGAGAGGUAGACGGUAUUCUGUGGGUAGGGGUAAAAUCCACUGAUCCAUAGAGGACCACCAGUGGCGAAGGCGGUCUACCAGAACGCGUUCGACGGUGAGGGAUGAAAGCUGGGGGAGCAAACCGGAUUAGAUACCCGGGUAGUCCCAGCUGUAAACGAUGCAAACUCGGUGAUGCAUUGGCUUAUGGCCAAUGCAGUGCCGCAGGGAAGCCGUUAAGUUUGCCACGUGGGACGUACGGACGCAAGUCUGAAACUUAAAGGAAUUGGCGGGGGAGCA
Molecule: ribosomal RNA, 869 nt
Filed under: uncultured archaeon
Lineage: Archaea
Description: bacterial SSU rRNA
Rfam family: Archaeal small subunit ribosomal RNA
Source: RNAcentral